UUCGUGACCUUAAGAUAUGGG
RNAcentral lists this microRNA (21 nucleotides) under Zea mays. Its description in RNAcentral is "microRNA miR-3030b". The record is from RNAcentral. Lineage: Eukaryota; Viridiplantae; Streptophyta; Magnoliopsida; Poales; Poaceae.